This 282-nucleotide ribosomal RNA is filed under the name uncultured euryarchaeote. RNAcentral describes it as "partial 16S ribosomal RNA". It matches the Rfam family "Archaeal small subunit ribosomal RNA", at positions 1039 to 1319 of the family's 1478-position model. Lineage: Archaea; Methanobacteriati; Methanobacteriota. The record is from RNAcentral.
CAACGAGNGAGACCCACGCCUNCAGUUGCNAGCUNAUCCUCCGGANUNGUGGGAACACUGUUGGGACCGCNUCUGCUAAAGAGGAGGAAGGAAUGGGCAACGGUAGGUCAGCAUGCCCNGAAUNAUCCGGGCUACACGCGGGCUACAAUGGGUGGGACAAUGGGUAUCGUNCCCCGAAAGGNNAAGGCAAUCUCCUAAACCCAUCCUUAGUUCGGAUUGNGGGCUGCAACUCGCCCNCAUGAAGCUGGAAUCGUGUAGUAAUCGUGUCUCAACAGGCACGGU